CAGGACGAACGCUGGCGGCGUGCCUAAUACAUGCAAGUCGAACGGUCUUUCUAUGGAAGCUGUUUCCACUGAGAAGAUAGUGGCGAACGGGUGAGUAACACGUGGGUAACCUGCCCAUAAGAGGGGGAUAACAUCCGGAAACGGGUGCUAAUACCGCAUAGUUUUCUUGAUCGCAUGAUCGGGAAAGGAAAGACGGCCUUUGUGCUGUCGCUUAUGGAUGGACCGCGGCGUAUUAGUUAGUUGGUGAGGUAACGGCUCACCAAGACGAUGAUACGUAGCCGACCUGAGAGGGUGAUCGGCCACAUUGGGACUGAGACACGGCCCAAACUCCUACGGGAGGCAGCAGUAGGGAAUCUUCCGCAAUGGACGAAAGUCUGACGGAGCAACGCCGCGUGAGUGAAAGAAGGUUUUCGGAUCGUAAAACUCUGUUGUCAGAGAAGAACAAGUUGGAGAGUAACUGCUCCAGCCUUGACGGUAUCUGACCAGAAAGCCACGGCUAACUACGUGCCAGCCGCCGC
RNAcentral lists this ribosomal RNA (518 nucleotides) under uncultured bacterium. RNAcentral's name for it is "bacterial SSU rRNA". It matches the Rfam family "Bacterial small subunit ribosomal RNA", at positions 25 to 518 of the family's 1533-position model. The record is from RNAcentral.